Molecule: ribosomal RNA, 294 nt
Filed under: uncultured bacterium
Lineage: Bacteria
Description: partial 16S ribosomal RNA
Rfam family: Bacterial small subunit ribosomal RNA
Source: RNAcentral
ACUCCUACGGGAGGCAGCAGUGGGGAAUAUUGCACAAUGGGCGCAAGCCUGAUGCAGCCAUGCCGCGUGUGUGAAGAAGGCCUUCGGGUUGUAAAGUACUUUCAGCAGUGAGGAAGGUAGUGUAGUUAAUAGCUUGCUAUAUUUUGACGUUAGCUGCAGAAGAAGCACCGGCUAACUCCGUGCCAGCAGCCGCGGUAAUACGGAGGGUGCGAGCGUUAAUCGGAAUUACUGGGCGUAAAGCGCAUGCAGGUGGUUUGUUAAGUCAGAUGUGAAAGCCCGGGGCUCAACUCGGAA